This 253-nucleotide ribosomal RNA is filed under the name uncultured bacterium. Its description in RNAcentral is "partial 16S ribosomal RNA". It matches the Rfam family "Bacterial small subunit ribosomal RNA", at positions 524 to 776 of the family's 1533-position model. The record is from RNAcentral.
UACGGAGGGUGCGAGCGUUGUCCGGAAUCACUGGGCGUAAAGGGCGCGUAGGCGGCGCGGGCAGUCAACGGUGAAAGCUCGGGGCUCAACUCCGAGUCGGCCGUCGAUACUCCCGCGCUCGAGCACUGUAGAGGCAGGUGGAAUUCCGGGUGUAGCGGUGGAAUGCGUAGAGAUCCGGAAGAACACCGGUGGCGAAGGCGGCCCACUGGCUCGAUACUGACGCUGAGGUGCGAAAGCGUGGGGAGCAAACAGG